RNAcentral lists this ribosomal RNA (812 nucleotides) under uncultured archaeon. RNAcentral's name for it is "bacterial SSU rRNA". It matches the Rfam family "Archaeal small subunit ribosomal RNA", at positions 49 to 867 of the family's 1478-position model. The record is from RNAcentral.
CCAUGUGAGUCGUUGUAGCAAUACAAGGCAUACGGCUCAGUAACAUGUAGUCAAUCUAACCUAUGGACGGGGAUAACCUCGGGAAACUGAGGAUAAACCCCGAUAGAUCAUUAUGCCUGGAACGGUUUAUGGUCAAAAUGAUUCGUCGCCGUAGGGUGGGACUGCGGCCUAUCAGCUUGUUGGUGAGGUAAUGGCCCACCAAGGCUAUUACAGGUACGGGCUCUGAGAGGAGAAGCCCGGAGAUGGGUACUGAGACACGGACCCAGGCCCUAUGGGGCGCAGCAGGCGAGAAACCUUUGCAAUGUGCGCAAGCACGACAAGGUUAAUCCGAGUGUUUCCUGCUAAAGGAAUCUUUUGUUAGUUGUAAAAUCACUGAUGAAUAAGGGGUGGGCAAGUUCUGGUGUCAGCCGCCGCGGUAAAACCAGCACCUCAAGUGGUCAGGAUGAUUAUUGGGCCUAAAGCAUCCGUAGCCUGUUCUAUAAGUUUCCGGUUAAAUCCAUUAGCUCAACUAAUGGGCUGCCGAAAACACUGUAGAACUAGGGAGUGGGAGAGGUAGACGGUACUCGGUAGGAAGGGGUAAAAUCCUUUGAUCUAUUGAUGACCACCUGUGGCGAAGGCGGUCUACCAGAACACGUUCGACGGUGAGGGAUGAAAGCUGGGGGAGCAAACCGGAUUAGAUACCCGGGUAGUCCCAGCUGUAAACGAUGCAGACUCGGUGAUGCCCUGGCUUGUGGCCAGUGCAGUGCCGCAGGGAAGCCGUUAAGUUUGCCGCCUGGGAAGUACGUACGCAAGUAUGAAACUUAAAGGAAUUG